Molecule: long non-coding RNA, 1500 nt
Filed under: Marmota monax (woodchuck)
Lineage: Eukaryota; Metazoa; Chordata; Mammalia; Rodentia; Sciuridae
Source: RNAcentral
CAGAUAAAAUACUGGAUUCCCAUGGACAUUUGGAUUUCAGGUAAACCACAAGUUAUUUUUUUUUCUUUAGUGUAAGUGCAUUCCAGGUAGUGCAUAGGACAUACUUCUCUGAGCUUCUUCCCUCAACAUGUUAAUAUAGUCCAGUUGUGAGAAGAACAUGCAAACAAGAGAAAAAAAGCAAGUAGUGCACAGGACAUACUUUAAAAAAACUGCUUAUUUAAAAUAACUGAUUUUCUCCUUUUCUGUUCCUUGUUGUUGUUAACAGAGAGAAUACUUUGCACAAGGAUUUCUGCUGAUUUCAUGAAGGCAUUCAAACAACCCACACUAGGAACUUAAAUAUGGCAUCUUUAGUUCUUUUUAAAAGUAAUAGUUAUUUUGUUGUGUUGUUGUUAAUUUCUAAGUAGAACAAGUGAGAAACAAGUACUGGAUUGAAAGUAUUGAGAUACAAAAUUACUUUAAGUGUCUGUAAUUGUUAGUUUUCUGUUGCUGUGACAAAAUACCUGAGAAAGUCAACUAAAGGAGAAAAGGUUGAUUUUGGCUCAUGAUUUUAGUUCAUGGUCAGCUGACUCCAUGGCUGUGGACCUGUGGUGAGGCCCAGCAUCAUGGCAGAGGACAUGGUGGGGCAGACCUGCUUACCUCAAGGAGGCUGGGAAGCAGAGUGGAGAGGGAGGAAAGGGCCAGGAACAGGAUGUGACCUGCCAGGGCCUGCCCCCAGUGACCUACUUCCUCCAGCAAGACCUCACAGUUUUCGCCAGCUCCCAGGACUGCCUUCAAAUUAUAAAUCCAUCUGUGAGUGAAUCCACAGAGAGUCAGAGCCCUCGUGAUCCAGUCUCUCUCCAAGAGCCCCACCUCUGAGAACGGCUGCACUGGGGACUCAACCUUCAUCACAGGGGACUUUCAGGGACAGCCCAGAUCGGAACCAUGACAAUAACCUUGUAGGUAAAUCAAGGGGCUGGGGUUGUGGCUCAGUGAUAGAGCGUUUGCCUAGGAUGUGUGAGGCACUGGGUUCGAGUCUCAGCACCACAUAUAAAUGAAUAAAAUAAAGUCCAUGGACAACUAAAAUAUUUUUUAAAAAAUAAAAUCAGAAAUUAAAAUGGCUUGAUUUACUUAUCUGAAAUUUGAAUUUAACUGGACCUUCUGUAUUUUUAUUUACUAAGUACGUCAAACCUGCAUGCAUUUUUUGAGACCAUUGAGAAAAAUGGAGUUUGGGUGUCUGACACCAGACAUUCUGAUUUAAUUUGUGCAGCCUCGUAAAGGGGAUUUUUUUUUUUAAAGCUCUUGAAGUGUUCCCAGCGUGCAGCCAGGGUUGAGAAUCAUUGCUGGACUAGCAGCAUCUAAUUAGACAGGCAUUUUUUUUUAAUUACUAUCUAUCAGGAGCAGGGGCUGAGAGCCCUGCAGGUGAAAAUCAGGUUAGAAAACCAUGCAGUUGUGUCUGACGACGAGGUGGGCAUUCACGACGAAGGUGCCUCAGAGGGCUCUGGGCCUCGGUGAUGCAGAAUG